This is a long non-coding RNA of Triplophysa dalaica, 2419 nucleotides long. RefSeq lists it as uncharacterized. Lineage: Eukaryota; Metazoa; Chordata; Actinopteri; Cypriniformes; Nemacheilidae. The transcript has 6 exons. The record is from RefSeq and is a predicted model, not a curated record.
GCUACCGUGCUAGGUAAGCUACCGUGCUAGGUAAGCUACCGUGCUAUUACACAAAACAAAUGCCUGGUCGCGAGUGUGUUUCACGUCCAUGUGUUGCGUUUUGUGUGGAUGCAAAUGUGCUGUGUAGCUAGCAAGCUAUGUGCUAACAACAUUUGGCGAUUGCAUCAGUUUAGUCAACAAAUUUACGCGUUCUGCACUUCCCACAGGGAAGAUUAUACAGCGACAGUAUUUACAAAACUGGUCACAGGCAUUUGCACUUAUCAAGCACAUGGGGGUAAGCCAAUGGAUCGGCACAAAGUGGAAUGAUUAAGCAACGAGAACAAUCGGCGCAAUAGUGGAAAAGCACCAAAUUGUGUUUUUUCAAUUUGCGUUUCUUCAGGUGUAGACAGGGUGUAAGAAUAUUGGAACUAGCGCUGAAAGGGUCAGAGGAUCUCUCAUUAUUUAGAAACACCGGUGAGGCUGACCUUGCGUCAUAAGUGCUUAGUGCAAUCGUGAUUGUGUAUGUGACCACUCGCUUCCUACUGUACAGACUCACACCCGUCUGCUUUCCUGGGACACCAAAGAGGUGGCUGACGUGUGAAGGCCUUUGGGUUCGUGCUGGUGAACUGUCUUUUGGAGGUCUGGAUCUGAAUCAAACAAGUCGCGCCGAUUCUGCCAAUAGUUGCCAGGGGAUACCAGCAGGCAGCCGUGCUCUGGAAGGACCGCCUGCAUGCGCCGUAACCCCGGCAACAGACUGAAAACACGACCAAGGGGAGAGCGGAAGACGUCCACAGGAACCAGACUGUUGUCCCAUGGUGAGACGGCUGCCUUGACCAACACCUGCUGGAUGUACGCCACCGGAGGACCCCGAUACUGCAAGGCGCUCCGACAGGUCACCCUGAGGCUCAUGGGACGGGACAGAGUAAUCUCGUACUCCGGUGGUGAACUCCACCGGUCCUGUUCCAGGCAGGGGCAGUUUCAGCAGAGGGUCAUCUGGGGACUGACUACAGGGUGGUUAUAAAAACAUAUCGUUUAGCAUGUCCCUGAAACAAAGAGUCACCAAGAAAUCAAUACCCUCCAGAUGGACAUCUGACAGCCUGUUUCUCACAAAAGGAACAUCUGUUACUCUUCUCUGCUUUCAGUUCAUCAAGGCCUGAAUGACUUUAUUGGGUGAAGCACAGAGAUGAACACAGGCUGAUUUAGUUAACAGGGAAACUAAAGACAACUAAAGAUUGUCCGGUCUUAUGUUUAGCUCAUUUCUAAACUUUUACAGAUCUUGUUUUCCACACUCUAGAAAUCAGUCAUUUUUAUUGAAGAUUUUGCUGUUGGUCAAACAUAUUUAAAUCCAGUUUAUGAUAUUUCCUGAUCCUGCUUCCUAUCUGCUCAUCGUAUAAUAGCCCUAUUAUAAACCAUAUUGUACAUACAUAGAUGAAUGCAUUGAAAGACUGAUGGUUCAAACUGAUUAGUCUACAUGGAAUAAUGCGCAAUGGAAAUCCACAAUGUAAAGGAAAACACUGUUGCAAUUUCAUGUCUUGAAUUUGAGUAAUUAAGGGUCCCUUGACAAAGGAUAGUUUUGUUCUUCCAGGAGGCUUGAGACACUGGCUUGUUCUUGCAGAAACAUUCUCACACUAUUUUCUUUAUUUUGACCUUUAGCUGAAGCAUCAGAGAUUUCAUUCACAUUUUGCUGACAGAUUUUUCAAGCUAUUUUUCUCAGUGCUCUGCUGAGUUUGUUUCGCAUGCGGCUCUACUGGCAUGAGAACUUCAUGACUAAUCUCACCCUCCAAUGAGAACUGUGAAGAGCAACCCACUGCCAGCCAACUUUAUUCCUAUGCUGGCUUCUCUCACCCUUUCAGAUUCAAGAUUGAAAAUGUCCUUAUAUAGUAAUUCAAAAAGCCAUCUUUGACCCACAGACGUACAUUAAAACAUGAUUUUCUCACCUUUAUUUAAAUUCAAAAAGCUGAAUGGAGACCGGGACGGACAUCUUAAGUCAUCACGACGCAUUGGCUGAAUAACGGUUUCAAGGUGUACAGGGGUUUGGAAAAGUCGCGGUUUUAAAACCACUAAAAGUUUAUGUUAUACCGUUCCAAAGGUAUGAGCUGUUUUGUCCAGGAAUCCAUCAGGUUCUGUGCUAUAUUUUGUUUAUGCUUAAUUAGUUGCUUGCUCAUCUGCAUUUAAUUUAUUUAUAUAUAUGUUUGUAUGCAUCCAAGUUUAAUUACUUGAAAUGCAUGUACAAGAAGACUAGAAAGGGGUCCCAUGCAUUCAAAAUGUUUGUGAAGCACUAAAUUAACCUGACAUACUGUUCAUGUUUACUACGGUUUCAAAUAUUUUGUGUUGUUUAAAAAUCUAAACUUUUGUGUACAAUGUUUUAAAUAACAGAUUUUGAAAGCUGCAACGCAAUACUGUUUAACCGUGAUGCAUCAUUUUCCUUAUAAUGAUGUGU